CAGUAGCCGCGGGAAUACGUAGGUGGCAAGCGUUGUCCGGAAUUAUUGGGCGUAAAGCGCGCGCAGGUGGUUAAUAAGUCUGAUGUGAAAGCCCACGGCUCAACCGUGGAGGGUCAUUGGAAACUGUUAGACUUGAGUGCAGGAGAGAAAAGUGGAAUUCCUAGUGUAGCGGUGAAAUGCGUAGAGAUUAGAAGGAACACCAGUGGCGAAGGCGGCUUUUUGGCCUGUAACUGACACUGAGGCGCGAAAGCGUGGGGAGCAAACAGGAUUAGAGACCCCUGUAGUCCCUGUCUCUUAUACA
This 301-nucleotide ribosomal RNA is filed under the name uncultured bacterium. RNAcentral's name for it is "partial 16S ribosomal RNA". It matches the Rfam family "Bacterial small subunit ribosomal RNA", at positions 509 to 808 of the family's 1533-position model. The record is from RNAcentral.